This is a long non-coding RNA of Gallus gallus (chicken), 508 nucleotides long. The record is from Ensembl. Lineage: Eukaryota; Metazoa; Chordata; Aves; Galliformes; Phasianidae.
GAAUAGUUUAUCUUCUGAGGUUUUUCACUUAUCUUUUUGUCGUCUUCAAAAACUUGGAGAUUAGCCACAACUGGAAACAGGCUGUAGAUUCAUGGCUUGAUGUUUUUACUGGUAUUAAAUCUCCUCACAUCUUGGCAUUAAAACAAUCACCACUUUGGAUGGAAGGAAGGAAUGCCUUCCUGAGAUCAGAUAGGUGAGGAUAGUUUUUCUCUUUUGGCGUCUUUUGCAACAGGAAUUUGGCUUCUCUCUUAGCUUCACCUGGAAGUUUUAUUUAAUAAAGUAUACAGUUAACUGGGAGACCUAAAAGUUUGUUUCAUAAAAAAAUUGGAGUGGAAAAAAAGUCCAACUGUAAGACCCAACAAAAGGAACUUUGAUUUUAACCAAUCUGUCCAUGGACAGUGUCUGAGAAGAACAUCAGAGGCUGUGGAUGCAGAACGGAUGCAAUGGGCAUGGUGUGGUCAACAUCAAAAAUUAGAUAUGUUUUCUGUAUUAGGGAGAAAGAGUUGCU